GCCCUGGUGGCACAGUGAUUAAGCAUUUGACUGUUAACCAAAAGGCUGGUGGUUCAAAUUCACCAGAGGGUA
RNAcentral lists this transfer RNA (72 nucleotides) under Loxodonta africana (African savanna elephant). It matches the Rfam family "tRNA". Rfam says of the family: Transfer RNA (tRNA) molecules are approximately 80 nucleotides in length. Their secondary structure includes four short double-helical elements and three loops (D, anti-codon, and T loops). Lineage: Eukaryota; Metazoa; Chordata; Mammalia; Proboscidea; Elephantidae. The record is from Rfam by way of RNAcentral.